UACCAAGUUUUGAUCUAUCCAACUUCGUUAGAUAUACCCGCUGAACUUAAGCAUAUCAA
RNAcentral lists this ribosomal RNA (59 nucleotides) under uncultured Archaeospora. RNAcentral describes it as "partial 28S ribosomal RNA". The record is from RNAcentral. Lineage: Eukaryota; Fungi; Glomeromycota; Glomeromycetes; Archaeosporales; Archaeosporaceae.